AGUGCAUUGCAAGGCUCUUCAUGGGCCAAGUGAAGAAGACCUUUCUCUCCUUGAAUGACCACAAGUUCCCAGGAGUUCCAGAAGAAGUGUGGCCCUGUGUGUGCACUGUGCCUGGGAUCACGUAGGAAGGUCAAGUGCAUUCUCAGGUCCUCAGUCGGCCGAGAGAAGAAGACCUUUCUGUCCCUGAUCACCGGAAGUUCACGGUGGAAUGACUGUGCGUGGCUCACCAUGGGCCACAGACCGGAGACCUUCCUCUGUAUUUUGAUGACCUGAGGUGCUGGUGAGCCCUGAGAAAAGUCGCUGUGGCAUGCACCUUGCCCCUGGAUUGCUCAGGAGGGUUGAGUGUAUUAAAGCUUCUUAGUCAGCCAAGAGCUGACCUUUUCUCCUUGGGUGACCAGACGUGCAUAGGAGUCCCAGAAGAAGUGUGUUCCUGUGUGUGCACCAUGCCUGCGAUCACUUAGGAAGUUCUCAGGUCAAGUGCUUUGCAGGCUUCUUUGGUGGCUGAGAGAAGACUUUUUCUCUUCUCAGAUGACUGGAGGUUCCCUGGAGCCCCAGAAGCAGUGUGGCCCUGAGUGUGCACCAUGCCUGGGAUCACGUAAGAAGGUGCAGUGGUCAUGCACUGCUCAUGGGGGGCUACAGAGAAGAGACCUUGCCUUUGAUGAAUGGAGAUGCCAGAAGCUUGAAAGAUGUGUGGUCCUGUGUGUGACCUUGGCUGUGGAUCGCUCAGGAAG
Molecule: long non-coding RNA, 731 nt
Organism: Hipposideros armiger (great roundleaf bat)
Lineage: Eukaryota; Metazoa; Chordata; Mammalia; Chiroptera; Hipposideridae
Exons: 6
Source: RefSeq, a predicted model, not a curated record